CCUACGGGGCGCAGCAGUGGGGAAUAUUGGGCAAUGGGCGCAAGCCUGACCCAGCAACGCCGCGUGAAGGAAGAAGGCCCUCGGGUUGUAAACUUCUUUUGUCAGGGACGAAGCAAGUGACGGUACCUGACGAAUAAGCCACGGCUAACUACGUGCCAGCAGCCGCGGUAAUACGUAGGUGGCAAGCGUUAUCCGGAUUUACUGGGUGUAAAGGGCGUGUAGGCGGGGAAGCAAGGCAGAUGGGAAAUUCGAGGGCUCAACCCUGGAACUGCAUUUGAAACUGUUGU
This 287-nucleotide ribosomal RNA is filed under the name uncultured bacterium. RNAcentral describes it as "partial 16S ribosomal RNA". It matches the Rfam family "Bacterial small subunit ribosomal RNA", at positions 338 to 639 of the family's 1533-position model. The record is from RNAcentral.